Molecule: ribosomal RNA, 468 nt
Filed under: uncultured bacterium
Lineage: Bacteria
Description: partial 16S ribosomal RNA
Rfam family: Bacterial small subunit ribosomal RNA
Source: RNAcentral
GACGAACGCUGGCGGCGUGCUUAACACAUGCAAGUCGAACGGCAAGGCCCUGCUUUCGUGGGGUGCUCGAGUGGCGAACGGGUGAGUAACACGUGAGUAACCUGCUCUUGAUUUUGGGAUAACUUCAGGAAACUGGGGCUACUACCGGAUCGGAGCUCCUGCUGCAUGGUGGGGGUUGGAACGUUUCGGCGGUUGGGGAUGGACUCGCGGCUUAUCAGCUUGUUGGUGGGGUAGUGGCUUACCAAGGCUUUGACGGGUAGCCGGCCUGAGAGGGUGACCGGCCACAUUGGGACUGAGAUACGGCCCAGACUCCUACGGGAGGCAGCAGUGGGGAAUAUUGCACAAUGGGCGGAAGCCUGAUGCAGCAACGCCGCGUGCGGGAUGACGGCCUUCGGGUUGUAAACCGCUUUCGCCUGUGACGAAGCGUGAGUGACGGUAAUGGGUAAAGAAGCACCGGCUAACUACGUG